This 274-nucleotide ribosomal RNA is filed under the name uncultured Staphylococcus sp. RNAcentral's name for it is "partial 16S ribosomal RNA". It matches the Rfam family "Bacterial small subunit ribosomal RNA", at positions 89 to 355 of the family's 1533-position model. Lineage: Bacteria; Bacillati; Bacillota; Bacilli; Caryophanales; Staphylococcaceae. The record is from RNAcentral.
ACGUUAGCGGCGGACGGGUGAGUAACACGUGGGUAACCUACCUAUAAGACUGGGAUAACGUUCGGGAAACCGGAGCUAAUACCGGAUAAUAUUUCGAACCGCAUGGUUCGAUAGUGAAAGAUGGUUUUGCUAUCACUUAUAGAUGGACCCGCGCCGUAUUAGCUAGUUGGUAAGGUAACGGCUUACCAAGGCGACGAUACGUAGCCGACCUGAGAGGGUGAUCGGCCACACUGGAACUGAGACGCGGUCCAGACUCCUACGGGAGGCAGCAGCA